This 253-nucleotide ribosomal RNA is filed under the name uncultured bacterium. RNAcentral describes it as "partial 16S ribosomal RNA". It matches the Rfam family "Bacterial small subunit ribosomal RNA", at positions 524 to 776 of the family's 1533-position model. The record is from RNAcentral.
GACAGAGGGUGCAAACGUUGUUCGGAAUUACUGGGCGUAAAGCGCGUGUAGGCGGCAGCGUGUGUCGGGCGUGAAAUCCCACGGCUCAACCGUGGAAGUGCACUCGAAACUGCGCAGCUAGAGUCCUGGAGAGGAAGGUGGAAUGCUUGGUGUAGAGGUGAAAUUCGUAGAUAUCAAGCGGAACACCGGUGGCGAAGGCGACCUUCUGGACAGUGACUGACGCUGAGGCACGAAAGCGUGGGGAUCAAACAGG